This 333-nucleotide long non-coding RNA is filed under the name Mytilus galloprovincialis (Mediterranean mussel). Lineage: Eukaryota; Metazoa; Mollusca; Bivalvia; Mytilida; Mytilidae. The record is from RNAcentral.
GGGGGUUCUAACCUUGUAUUUCUAAGUUGGAUAAUGGACUUCAUUUUUGAAUUGGCCUACAUUUGUACAUUGAGGUCCAAAGGGUCCAAAAUCAAAAAACUUUGUUUGAUUUCAUCAAAAACUGAAUUAUUGCGGCUCUAAUGAUAUGCCUAUAAAUUUUUCAUUUUGUGCCCAAGAGUGUUUUGAAACUUUUCAAAUAAGUCCAUAUUGUAGGUUUGAAGGGCUUGAUUUCGACUAACAUUGAAUAUUUUGUGUUUUUUUUUUACAUGCUGAAUCUAACUAUGUUGUUAGAUUUUGGUAUCAGACCUUACUCAUGUUACUAGUUAAAUUAGA